AGCCUCCUGGUGCUUACCACAGGCUAUGUUCUUACACUGACUAUAGAAAGAGGAGGGAAAGAAAACCUACCCCAUAUAUGCCUCAGCCCAGUCCCUCUGCCUGGACUGUAGUCUAUAUUUUGAAUGGGAAAACAUGG
This 137-nucleotide small nucleolar RNA is filed under the name Castor canadensis (American beaver). RNAcentral describes it as "Small nucleolar RNA SNORA51 (ENSCCNG00000018348.1)". It matches the Rfam family "Small nucleolar RNA SNORA51". Rfam says of the family: ACA51 is a member of the H/ACA class of snoRNA that guide the sites of modification of uridines to pseudouridines. The record is from Rfam by way of RNAcentral. Lineage: Eukaryota; Metazoa; Chordata; Mammalia; Rodentia; Castoridae.